UAGUCCUAGCCGUAAACGAUGGGCACUAAGUAGGGGGGCUCCCAAGGCCUCUCUGCCGGAGCUAAUGUGUUAAGUGCCCCGCCUGGGGAGUAUGGUCGCAAGGCUAAAACUCAAAGGAAUUGACGGGGGCUCGCACAAGUGGUGGAGCAUGCGGUUUAAUUCGAUGCUACGCGAAAAACCUUACCAACCCUUGACAUGGUGGUCGCGAGAGAUAGAGAUAACUCUCUUCAGUUAGGCUGGACCACACACAGGUGUUGCAUGGCUGUCGUCAGCUCGUGUCGUGAGAUGUUGGGUUAAGUCCCGCAACGAGCGAAACCCUCAUUCUCAUUUGCCAGCGGUUCGGCCGGGAACUAUGAGAAAACUGCCGGUGAUAAGCCGGAGGAAGGUGGGGAUAAUGUCAAGUCAUCAUGGCCCUUAUGGGUUGGGCUACACGCGUGCUACAAUGGUAUCUACAGAGGGAUGCAAUAUGGCAACAUGGAGCAAAUCCUCAAAGGAUAUCUU
Molecule: ribosomal RNA, 501 nt
Filed under: uncultured bacterium
Lineage: Bacteria
Description: bacterial SSU rRNA
Rfam family: Bacterial small subunit ribosomal RNA
Source: RNAcentral